CGUCUAUAUACGUAUAGCAUAUCAAUAAGCGGAGGAAAAGAAACUAACUAGGAUUCCCUUAGUAACGGCGAGUGAAGCGGGAAGAGCUCAAAUUUGAAAUCUUCAAGGUUUUACCUUGACGAAUUGUAGUUUAAAGAAGUGUUUUCUGUUGGUGUUUUGGUAAAAGUUCUUUGGAAUAGGACACCAUAGAGGGUGAGAAUCCCGUAUUUGACCAUUACUUCCAGCGUUGUGAUACACUUUCAAAGAGUCGGAUUGUUUGGGAAUGCAGUCCAAAAUGGGUGGUAAAUUUCAUCUAAAGCUAAAUAUUGGCGAGAGACCGAUAGCGAACAAGUACCGUGAGGGAAAGAUGAAAAGAACUUUGAAAAGAGAGUUAAACAGUACGUGAAAUUGUCAAAAGGGAAGCGUUUGACACCAGUGUUGUUUUCUCGAAAAUCAAUUAAAAAUGGUUGGAUUUUGUAUUGUUAAGACCUUAUCAGCUUACUGUACUCUUUCUUGCUUUUUUUAAUGCACUUUUCGUUUAACAAGUCAACAUCAAUUUCUUUUGUUGUAAAAGGGUCAUUGGAAGGUGGCUUUCUUUUCGGAGAAAGUGUUUAUAGCCUUUGGCCUCUGCAAUCGGAGAGAUUGAGGUCUGCAGCGUAGAUCCUUCGGGGUUAGAUACAUUUGUGCUAAGUUAUAGCCUUUCAUAGACAACUUGUUGACUAUGAUCAGUCAUGUAGCUUACUCGCUGAUGCUAUUUUACCUACGCUUAGGAUGUUGACUGAUAUGUAGUCGUA
RNAcentral lists this ribosomal RNA (773 nucleotides) under uncultured Neocallimastigales. RNAcentral describes it as "partial large subunit ribosomal RNA". It matches the Rfam family "Eukaryotic large subunit ribosomal RNA", at positions 26 to 644 of the family's 3401-position model. The record is from RNAcentral. Lineage: Eukaryota; Fungi; Neocallimastigomycota; Neocallimastigomycetes; Neocallimastigales.